CCCUAAAAGUACCUAGGAAGAAUAAGUCAUCUUAUCAAAAAAUCAUACCACCAACUCUUGUCUUCCUUUCUUUUAUAGGAAUGACACGAGGAAGACCAACCAUAGAUUACAUCCGUAGGACAAAAUCAAGCCAUCCCUUAUCCACCUCCUGGCCCCAAGUACUAAACAGCUGAGAGGUCUAUUUCCCACAACAUAGUGGAGUUUAGGAAGCUUAACCAACCUCAUUUUGAAGGUGGCCUUGACCCUUUAGUAGCCGAAGCCUGGAUCUUAGAAAUAGAGAAGCUUUCCUCUAUUAUAGACCUAACUAAGGAACAAAAGGUUUCCCUAGUAGCUU
Molecule: long non-coding RNA, 334 nt
Filed under: Carica papaya (papaya)
Lineage: Eukaryota; Viridiplantae; Streptophyta; Magnoliopsida; Brassicales; Caricaceae
Description: long non-coding RNA (CPAP_LNC010998)
Source: RNAcentral